GUUGUAUGGUUAAGUGACUAAGCGUACACGGUGGAUGCCUGGGCAGUCAGAGGCGAUGAAGGACGUACUAACUUGCGAUAAGCGCAGAUAAGGCAGUAAGAGCCGUUUGAGUCUGCGAUUUCCGAAUGGGGAAACCCAACUGCAUAAGCAGUUACUGUUAACUGAAUACAUAGGUUAACAGAGCAAACCGGGGGAACUGAAACAUCUAAGUACCCCGAGGAGAAGAAAUCAACCGAGAUUCCGGUAGUAGCGGCGAGCGAACCUGGAUUAGCCCUUAAGCGCUCGGUGAAGUAGGUGAACAAGCUGGAAAGCUUGGCGAUACAGGGUGAUAGCCCCGUAACCGACGCUUCAUCGAGCGUGAAAUCGAGUAGGGCGGGACACGUGAUAUCCUGUCUGAAUAUGGGGGGACCAUCCUCCAAGGCUAAAUACUCCUGACUGACCGAUAGUGAACCAGUACCGUGAGGGAAAGGCGAAAAGAACCCCUGUGAGGGGAGUGAAAUAGAACCUGAAACCGUGUACGUACAAGCAGUAGGAGCACCUUCGUGGUGUGACUGCGUACCUUUUGUAUAAUGGGUCAGCGACUUAUAUUCAGUGGCAAGGUUAACCGUAUAGGGGAGCCGUAGCGAAAGCGAGUCUUAACUGGGCGCUCAGUCUCUGGAUAUAGACCCGAAACCGGGUGAUCUAGCCAUGGGCAGGUUGAAGGUUGAGUAACAUCAACUGGAGGACCGAACCGACUAAUGUUGAAAAAUUAGCGGAUGACUUGUGGCUAGGGGUGAAAGGCCAAUCAAACUCGGAGAUAGCUGGUUCUCCCCGAAAGCUAUUUAGGUAGCGCCUCGGACGAAUACUACUGGGGGUAGAGCACUGUUAAGGCUAGGGGGUCAUCCCGACUUACCAACCCUUUGCAAACUCCGAAUACCAGUAAGUACUAUCCGGGAGACACACGGCGGGUGCUAACGUCCGUCGUGGAGAGGGAAACAACCCAGACCGCCAGCUAAGGUCCCAAAGUAUUGCUAAGUGGGAAACGAUGUGGGAAGGCUCAGACAGCUAGGAUGUUGGCUUAGAAGCAGCCAUCAUUUAAAGAAAGCGUAAUAGCUCACUAGUCGAGUCGGCCUGCGCGGAAGAUGUAACGGGGCUAAGCAAUACACCGAAGCUGCGGCAAUGUCUUUUAGACAUUGGGUAGGGGAGCGUUCUGUAAGCCGUUGAAGGUGAAUCGUAAGGUUUGCUGGAGGUAUCAGAAGUGCGAAUGCUGACAUGAGUAACGACAAAGGGGGUGAAAAACCUCCUCGCCGGAAGACCAAGGGUUCCUGUCCAACGUUAAUCGGGGCAGGGUGAGUCGACCCCUAAGGUGAGGCCGAAAGGCGUAAUCGAUGGGAAACGGGUUAAUAUUCCCGUACUUCUGACUAUUGCGAUGGGGGGACGGAGAAGGCUAGGUGGGCCAGGCGACGGUUGUCCUGGUUCAAGUGCGUAGGCUUGAGAGUUAGGUAAAUCCGGCUCUCUCUAAGGCUGAGACACGACGUCGAGCUGCUACGGCAGUGAAGUCAUUGAUGCCAUGCUUCCAGGAAAAGCCUCUAAGCUUCAGAUAGUCAGGAAUCGUACCCCAAACCGACACAGGUGGUCGGGUAGAGAAUACCAAGGCGCUUGAGAGAACUCGGGUGAAGGAACUAGGCAAAAUGGUACCGUAACUUCGGGAGAAGGUACGCUCUUGAUGGUGAAGUCCCUCGCGGAUGGAGCUGACGAGAGUCGCAGAUACCAGGUGGCUGCAACUGUUUAUUAAAAACACAGCACUGUGCAAAAUCGCAAGAUGACGUAUACGGUGUGACGCCUGCCCGGUGCCGGAAGGUUAAUUGAUGGGGUUAGCGCAAGCGAAGCUCUUGAUCGAAGCCCCGGUAAACGGCGGCCGUAACUAUAACGGUCCUAAGGUAGCGAAAUUCCUUGUCGGGUAAGUUCCGACCUGCACGAAUGGCGUAAUGAUGGCCACGCUGUCUCCACCCGAGACUCAGUGAAAUUGAAAUCGCUGUGAAGAUGCAGUGUACCCGCGGCUAGACGGAAAGACCCCGUGAACCUUUACUACAGCUUGGCACUGAACAUUGAACCUACAUGUGUAGGAUAGGUGGGAGGCUAUGAAGACGUGACGCCAGUUGCGUUGGAGCCGUCCUUGAAAUACCACCCUUGUAUGUUUGAUGUUCUAACUUAG
This 2194-nucleotide ribosomal RNA is filed under the name Vibrio cholerae. RNAcentral describes it as "partial 23S ribosomal RNA". It matches the Rfam family "Bacterial large subunit ribosomal RNA", at positions 1 to 2230 of the family's 2925-position model. The record is from RNAcentral. Lineage: Bacteria; Pseudomonadati; Pseudomonadota; Gammaproteobacteria; Vibrionales; Vibrionaceae.